Molecule: unclassified non-coding RNA, 179 nt
Organism: Chelonoidis abingdonii (Abingdon island giant tortoise)
Lineage: Eukaryota; Metazoa; Chordata; Testudines; Testudinidae
Source: Ensembl
UUAGUUCUCCUGGAAUUGGGCUACCUUCAAUCUUUCCAUAGACUAGAUUAUAGUAUUAGUUAAUGGCAGUGCAAACUUCCUCAUUUAGACCUACCAAUGUGCCUCUACCCUGAACUGGAGACAUCACAUCUAGAGGGAGAGGGUAGUUCAGUCCACAUGCCCAUUGAUUUCCACCCCCU